This 455-nucleotide ribosomal RNA is filed under the name uncultured bacterium. Its description in RNAcentral is "bacterial SSU rRNA". It matches the Rfam family "Bacterial small subunit ribosomal RNA", at positions 340 to 784 of the family's 1533-position model. The record is from RNAcentral.
UACGGGAGGCAGCAGUGGGGAAUAUUGCACAAUGGGCGAAAGCCUGAUGCAGCUAUGCCGCGUGUAUGAAGAAGGCCUUAGGGUUGUAAAGUACUUUCAUCGGGGAGGAAAAAACAAAACUAAUAAUUUUAUUUCUUGACGUUACCCGAAAAAGAAGCACCGGCUAACUCCGUGCCAGCAGCCGCGGUAAUACGGAGGGUGCUAGCGUUAAUCAGAAUUACUGGGCGUAAAGAGCACGUAGGUGGUUUUUUUAAAGUCAGAUGUGAAAUCCCUGGGCUUAACCUAGGAACUGCAUUUUGAAACUGAAAUACUAGAGUAUCGUAGAGGGAGGUAGAAUUCUAGGUGUAGCGGUGAAAUGCGUAGAUAUCUGGAGGAAUACCUGUGGCGAAAGCGGCCUCCUAAACGAAUACUGACACUGAGGUGCGAAAGCGUGGGGAGCAAACAGGGAUUAGAUA